GGGUACUGCCUGCCCGGUGACAAUUAGUGUUAAACGGCCGCGGUAUUUUUGACUGUGCGAAGGUAGCGUAAUCAUUUGCUCUUUAAUUGGGGGCUUGAAUGAAUGGCAAGACAGAAGCUAUGCUGUCUUUUCUUUAAUUUCUUGAAUUUAAUAUUGUUGUGAAGAAGCAACAAUACGGCCGUAGGACGAGAAGACCCUGUCGAGCUUUACUGAUGGGCUAUUUUGUUUGAUUAAGACUCCAAGAGCUAAUUAUUUUUACUGGAAAGCGGUAAUGUGCGAGUUACUCUUGGAGUCAGCAUUUGGAAAUUGUUUUAUUGUUUGGUUGGGGCAACCGCGGAGAACAGGAAUCCUCCGCUUUUUGUUAAGGAAAAGUUACUACUUUGUUGUGUGAUUAUUUAUUUAUAGUAGGAUCCACGUUUAAGUGAUUAAAGGAAUAAGUUACCGCAGGGAUAACAGCGUCAUUCUUUUGGAGAGUUCAUAUUGAUAAGGGAGUUUGCGACCUCGAUGUUGGAUCGGGAUAUCCUGGGGGUGUAGCAAUUCCCGAGGGUUGGUCUGUUCGACCAUUAAAAUCCU
RNAcentral lists this ribosomal RNA (573 nucleotides) under Henricia ohshimai. Its description in RNAcentral is "partial 16S ribosomal RNA". It matches the Rfam family "Bacterial large subunit ribosomal RNA", at positions 1850 to 2597 of the family's 2925-position model. The record is from RNAcentral. Lineage: Eukaryota; Metazoa; Echinodermata; Asteroidea; Spinulosida; Echinasteridae.